Molecule: ribosomal RNA, 119 nt
Filed under: Helianthus annuus (common sunflower)
Lineage: Eukaryota; Viridiplantae; Streptophyta; Magnoliopsida; Asterales; Asteraceae
Source: RNAcentral
AGUUGCGAUCAUACCAGCACUAAUGCACCGGAUCCCAUCAGAACUCCGCAGCUAAGCGUGCUUGGGCGAGAGUAGUACUAGGAUGGGUGACCCCCUGGGAAGUCCUCGUGUUGCAACCC